GGACAUAGCUCAGUGAUAGAGCGUCUGCUUUGCAUGCAGAAGGUCUCAUGUUCAAUCCCUGGUAUCUCCA
Molecule: transfer RNA, 70 nt
Filed under: Podarcis lilfordi (Lilford's wall lizard)
Lineage: Eukaryota; Metazoa; Chordata; Lepidosauria; Squamata; Lacertidae
Rfam family: tRNA
About the family: Transfer RNA (tRNA) molecules are approximately 80 nucleotides in length.
Source: Rfam by way of RNAcentral